UGCGCUCUCCGAUAACGCGCCUUUGUUACGCAUUUCGAUGACACAUUUUAGACUGGUUCUACUGGUUCUGUAGCGUUCGACUCGCCGGCACUCAGUAACCGAAGUACGUAUUUUUUAUGCAGGUGGUUGUGGCACGUGGCACGAGCGGUUUUACUUAACAAUAGACAAUAGGAUUAGGCGUCGGGCUCUAUUAGGAAGCUACGAACUAUA
Long non-coding RNA from Cydia splendana, 210 nucleotides. RefSeq lists it as uncharacterized. The transcript has 3 exons. The record is from RefSeq and is a predicted model, not a curated record. NCBI's taxonomy places the organism in Eukaryota, Metazoa, Arthropoda, Insecta, Lepidoptera, Tortricidae.